Cyprinus carpio carpio is the source of this 548-nucleotide long non-coding RNA. The record is from Ensembl. Lineage: Eukaryota; Metazoa; Chordata; Actinopteri; Cypriniformes; Cyprinidae.
CAGGUCCCAGGAUCAUCCGUGAAUCCGGAAGGUCAAAAGGUCAACCUUUCUGAUAUCGAUGGCUGAAUGAACCAAGCGGUGGAGAUACAGAUGUGAGCGUCCAUAAGCGGGCUAUUUACCCUCGGGCUAUUUUGUGGAGGGCUGUUUUGCCCAGGGUUGUUCUGGGUAGGGUUAGUGGCCUGUCCGGGACUGGAUUUUUUUUCCGAAUGAACUCAGCAGUGGAGAUACGGAUGUUGUAAUGUAUCAUUUUUUAUGAUAUUUAUUUAUUUAUUCCUGCCCUCAAUUAUUACUUAUAUAUUUCUCAUUAAUCAUUUAUUUAUUUAUUUUCUAGAGUGUCCAUAAGCGGGCUAUUUAGCCUCGGGCUAUUUUGUGGAGGGCUGUUUUGCCCAGGGUUGUUCUGGGUAGGGUUAGUGGCCUGUCCAGGACUGGUCAGUAUAAGGACAAUAAAGAGAGGGUUGAAAUGGUUAAGUUUAGGUACUGGUAGGGGUCGUGUGUCAGGGGGUGAAGCUGUCCAGGCAGUUGUGACGGGUAGGUGUUAGGUUUGUGGA